GACGAACGCUGGCGGCGUGCUUAACACAUGCAAGUCGAGCGGUAAGGCCCUUUUGGGGGUACACGAGCGGCGAACGGGUGAGUAACACGUGGGUGACCUGCCCUCAGCUCUGGGAUAAGCCUGGGAAACUGGGUCCAAUACUGGAUAUGACCUUUCCUCGCAUGGGGUUGGGUGGAAAGUUUUUCGGCUGGGGAUGGGCCCGCGGCCUAUCAGCUUGUUGGUGGGGUGAUGGCCUACCAAGGCGACGACGGGUAGCCGGCCUGAGAGGGCGACCGGCCACACUGGGACUGAGACACGGCCCAGACUCCUACGGGAGGGCAGCAGUGGGGAAUAUUGCGCAAUGGGCGGAAGCCUGACGCAGCGACGCCGCGUGGGGGAUGACGGCCU
This 387-nucleotide ribosomal RNA is filed under the name uncultured bacterium. RNAcentral's name for it is "bacterial SSU rRNA". It matches the Rfam family "Bacterial small subunit ribosomal RNA", at positions 28 to 417 of the family's 1533-position model. The record is from RNAcentral.